This is a long non-coding RNA of Oreochromis aureus, 536 nucleotides long. NCBI's taxonomy places the organism in Eukaryota, Metazoa, Chordata, Actinopteri, Cichliformes, Cichlidae. The record is from Ensembl.
AAAGCCCUUCAUUCUUCAUUCAGUAUGGAGGAAAAACUCAUCAACGCAGUGGCUAAUCGUCCAGAACUAUACGAUGCUAGCUGCUACUUCUACCGGGACAGGAAUAAAAAGGACCGAGCUUGGAGGCACAGAAGUGAGGAGAUCGGGCAACCUGAACCAACUGAUUCUGCUGCAGAGCAUCCCCUGUUGCUUCUCCUGGCUCCCCAGUCCCUGAGCUCCUGCUGCUGCACCCACAGAGAGGAGGACAGCUCCGAGGCAGAUGAGGGACGGGUCCCAGGACGGUCCAUCGGCAGUGGAGCUGGCCAUCCUGGUGUCCCUGAAGAGGCCACGCCAGUCUGCAAUGGAGCAUUUCCUCCUCAGCCUUGUUCCUGCUCUGGAGAGCAGCUGGUCUUUUUUUUUUUUAUUCCUGUCUCUCUGUAAAUACUUAUAUUUUAUAUAUUUAUGUUUAAUGUUUUUCUCUGUGAGAAUUUUAAUAUUAUUUCAAAUAAAUUUUUAUAAUGACUAAUGUCUCAGUUCUACUACACAGCAAAUGUUGG